This 475-nucleotide ribosomal RNA is filed under the name uncultured bacterium. Its description in RNAcentral is "partial 16S ribosomal RNA". It matches the Rfam family "Bacterial small subunit ribosomal RNA", at positions 29 to 523 of the family's 1533-position model. The record is from RNAcentral.
AGUGAACGCUGGCGGCGUGCCUAACACAUGCAAGUCGCACGAUGAGGAGCAGCUUGCUGCUCGGAUUAGUGGCGCACGGGCGAGUAACGCAUAGGUAAUGUGCCCCUUAGUCUGGGAUAGCCACUGGAAACGGUGAUUAAUACUAGAUACUCCUUCUUACUAUAAGGAGAGUCGGGAAAGUUUUUCGCUAAUGGAGCAGCCUAUGUCCUAUCAGGUUGUUGGUGAGGUAACGACUCCCAAAGGCUAUGACGGGUAUCUGGUUUGAGAGGAUGGAUCGACACACUGGAACUGAGACGCGGUACAGACUCCUACGGGAGGCAGCAGUGAGGAAUAUUACACAAUGGGGGAAACUCAGAUGGAGCAACGCCGCGUGGAGGAUGACGCAUUUCGGUGUGUAAACUCCUUUUAAGAGGGAAGAUUAUGACGAUACCUCUUGAAUAAGCACCGGCUAACUCCGUGCCAGCCGCCGCGGUAA